AGUGAACGCUGGCGGUAGGCCUAACACAUGCAAGUCGAACGGCAGCACAGUAAGAGCUUGCUCUUACGGGUGGCGAGUGGCGGACGGGUGAGGAAUACAUCGGAAUCUACUUUUUCGUGGGGGAUAACGUAGGGAAACUUACGCUAAUACCGCAUACGACCUACGGGUGAAAGCAGGGGAUCUUCGGACCUUGCGCGAUUGAAUGAGCCGAUGUCGGAUUAGCUAGUUGGCGGGGUAAGGCCCACCAAGGCGACGAUCCGUAGCUGGUCUGAGAGGAUGAUCAGCCACACUGGAACUGAGACACGGUCCAGACUCCUACGGGAGGCAGCAGUGGGGAAUAUUGGACAAUGGGCGCAAGCCUGAUCCAGCCAUACCGCGUGGGUGAAGAAGGCCUUCGGGUUGUAAAGCCCUUUUGUUGGGAAAGAAAAGCAGCAGGUUAACACCCCGCUGUUCUGACGGUACCCAAAGAAUAAGCACCGGCUAACUUCGUG
This 491-nucleotide ribosomal RNA is filed under the name uncultured bacterium. RNAcentral's name for it is "partial 16S ribosomal RNA". It matches the Rfam family "Bacterial small subunit ribosomal RNA", at positions 29 to 507 of the family's 1533-position model. The record is from RNAcentral.